AUGCAGUCGAACGAACUCUUCGGAGUUAGUGGCGGACGGGUGAGUAACACGUGGGAACGUGCCUUUAGGUUCGGAAUAACUCAGGGAAACUUGUGCUAAUACCGAAUGUGCCCUUCGGGGGAAAGAUUUAUCGCCUUUAGAGCGGCCCGCGUCUGAUUAGCUAGUUGGUGAGGUAAAGGCUCACCAAGGCGACGAUCAGUAGCUGGUCUGAGAGGAUGAUCAGCCACAUUGGGACUGAGACACGGCCCAAACUCCUACGGGAGGCAGCAGUGGGGAAUCUUGCGCAAUGGGCGAAAGCCUGACGCAGCCAUGCCGCGUGAAUGAUGAAGGUCUUAGGAUUGUAAAAUUCUUUCACCGGGGACGAUAAUGACGGUACCCGGAGAAGAAGCCCCGGCUAACUUCGUGCCAGCAGCCGCGGUAAUACGAAGGGGGCUAGCGUUGCUCGGAAUUACUGGGCGUAAAGGGAGCGUAGGCGGACAUUUAAGUCAGGGGUGAAAUCCCGGGGCUCAACCUCGGAAUUGCCUUUGAUACUGGGUGUCUUGAGUAUGAGAGAGGUGUGUGGAACUCCGAGUGUAGAGGUGAAAUUCGUAGAUAUUCGGAAGAACACCAGUGGCGAAGGCGACACACUGGCUCAUUACUGACGCUGAGGCUCGAAAGCGUGGGGAGCAAACAGGAUUAGA
This 680-nucleotide ribosomal RNA is filed under the name Brevundimonas vesicularis. RNAcentral describes it as "bacterial SSU rRNA". It matches the Rfam family "Bacterial small subunit ribosomal RNA", at positions 55 to 782 of the family's 1533-position model. Lineage: Bacteria; Pseudomonadati; Pseudomonadota; Alphaproteobacteria; Caulobacterales; Caulobacteraceae. The record is from RNAcentral.